CCACUGCUCAGUUGGUAGAGCACAAAGCUCUCAACCUUGUGGACAUGGGUGCAAGCCCCAUAAUGGG
Molecule: non-coding RNA, 67 nt
Organism: Triticum aestivum (bread wheat)
Lineage: Eukaryota; Viridiplantae; Streptophyta; Magnoliopsida; Poales; Poaceae
Source: Rfam